RNAcentral lists this unclassified non-coding RNA (2058 nucleotides) under Cotesia glomerata. Its description in RNAcentral is "e3 ubiquitin ligase Rnf157, transcript variant X3". Lineage: Eukaryota; Metazoa; Arthropoda; Insecta; Hymenoptera; Braconidae. The record is from RNAcentral.
GUUGUAAAUUAGUUGUUGCUGGUUGCUGCUAAGCAAUCUUAAUCCUGAAAACUUCACAACUGUUAUAGUUGUUUUUUGAUAUUUUUUUACGCACUUUACUUGUUUCUCCCACUACCUGGACACUCAUGGAUUUUGUUAAUUAUUUUUUUAGUGAGCAUCUAACUUCAAACUGGACUAUGUUAUUUUUUUAUUAACUUCAUUUUUUAUUUAUUGUUGAUGUAACCUCACUAGAAUAUGACAGCAUCAACAAAUGAUGGCGCUGUAUUAAAAUUCUGUUCUCCAAUAUCAAGACACUAUUGCAAGUAGCAAGUAAACAGUUACUUGUCGCAAUUCUCAGUCUCUAGUCCAAUCUGUCAAAAAUAUUUACUUGCUCCAAAAACUAAGUGUCAAAAAUGGGUUCGCUGACAAGCAGACAAAACGCCGGAGUGGAAGAAGUUGACAUAGUAUCAAACCACGCGUAUAAAUAUCCCCCGAGAUCAGGCAACUACUUCGGAAGUCACUUCAUCAUGGGAGGAGAGAGGUUUGACACGCCGCAGCCGGAGGCUUAUUUGUUUGGAGAAAAUGCGGACUUGAACUUCCUGGGAAGUAGGCCGACACCUUUUCCGUACCCUCCUCCGCAGGCAAAUGACCCAACCAAGACACUAAAGAGUCUGGCUAACAUCAGAAAGGAAUCUCUGAGGCUGACCAAGAGCAUUGAUCCCGUGCCGACGUCCUCAGAGUCUAAUGACACCAUCAAUGCGAUUAAACACUUUGGAGAAGGGGAUGUUGAUAAAAAGACCACUAGGUUUAAUAUUGAGUUUACUUUUGAUUGCGAUGUCAGAUGUGCAAUUACUAUUUAUUACUUUUGUACUGAGGAAGUCACUGCCAAAGGAGUCUCAUAUGUACCGAGAGAUCCAUCAAUGAACUCCGAGACAUAUCACUACAAAAAAGGAGCAAACCAACAGUUCAUCCAAACGUCCCACGUCUUCGACCCGAGUCUUUACAACGAAGAAGACUUGCUCUACAACACAGACCGCGAGAUAGUCCCAAUAGCUAUCCACUGCGUAGCUGAGGAAGGCUCAGAAGAACCCAAGCAGUCACACACGACGAUAGCGGUCGUGGAGAAGCAGUCUGACGGGUCUUACAUCUUAAAAGCUCUCAAGCAGAAGCUCUACGUCGACGGUUUGUGUUAUUUACUCCAGGAAAUUUACGGAAUAGAAAACAAAAAUACUGAAAACACAAAGCAGCAAGGGAGCGACGAAGAUGCUGAAGAUAAUGGCUCAGAGUGUGUUAUUUGCAUGUGUGAUGUUCGGGAUACUUUGAUCCUGCCUUGUAGACAUCUGUGUCUUUGUUACGGAUGCGCUGACUCUCUGAGGUACCAAGCUAACAAUUGUCCGAUCUGCAGAGCUCCUUUCCGUGCUCUUCUUCAAAUCAAGGCGCUUCAAAAGGCCACUGGUGCUAUUAUUUCUAAUCCUCCGAUGCCUGAAGGAAGCUGUGAGAAUAUUCCCUCGGGGUACGAAGCUGUUUCUUUGAUAGAAGCCUUGAAUGGCCCGUAUACGCCGAGAGUCGUUGUUCCAGCUCCAGAAUCUCCUGAUACUCCUGAUACUGAUACUGCUAGCGCUAUCCAGGCAGCUGAAAUUUUAAAUAGUAAAACUACCCCAUUGCAGAUCUGCAGAACGAACACCAGUGUCGAAACACACGGGUCUAAAAGACGGCGAAACGGGAGCUGCGAUAGCGAGGUCCAACAAUGCGACACCCUGCCCUACUCCGGAGUUCCGCAUGUCUGUCCUGUUGGCCAGAGACGAGACUGUCGUCAACCAGAAGGAGUUGCAUGGACGCUCCCCGGGUAUGCGGGCCAAAACCAGUCAUCCGCGUGAGAAAAAUUCCAUCAGAACUCGGGAUACUUUGAGACUUGUCAAUGAGAAGCAGCCUCACUACGACGUACAGGGCCAAGACGAGGACAGUGAAGCAGAAAAAUUAUCACCUCUUCUAGAUUCAGCAGCUAGCACCGACCCCAGAGAAUCUCACCACCGCAUCUGCGACCUGGACAUUGACGAUGAAAUGACCAGCAAUGUCAAU